This 469-nucleotide ribosomal RNA is filed under the name Brachymonas sp. canine oral taxon 015. RNAcentral's name for it is "bacterial SSU rRNA". It matches the Rfam family "Bacterial small subunit ribosomal RNA", at positions 9 to 470 of the family's 1533-position model. The record is from RNAcentral. Lineage: Bacteria; Pseudomonadati; Pseudomonadota; Betaproteobacteria; Burkholderiales; Comamonadaceae.
GAGUUUGAUCCUGGCUCAGAUUGAACGCUGGCGGCAUGCUUUACACAUGCAAGUCGAACGGCAGCACAGGGAGCUUGCUCCUGGGUGGCGAGUGGCGAACGGGUGAGUAAUGUAUCGGAACGUGCCUGGUAGUGGGGGAUAACCACUCGAAAGAGUGGCUAAUACCGCAUGAGAUCUCUGGAUGAAAGCGGGGGACCUUUGGGCCUCGCGCUAUCGGAGCGGCCGAUAUCAGAUUAGGUUGUUGGUGGGGUAAAGGCCUACCAAGCCUGCGAUCUGUAGCUGGUCUGAGAGGACGACCAGCCACACUGGGACUGAGACACGGCCCAGACUCCUACGGGAGGCAGCAGUGGGGAAUUUUGGACAAUGGGCGCAAGCCUGAUCCAGCAAUGCCGCGUGCAGGACGAAGGCCCUCGGGUUGUAAACUGCUUUUGUACAGAACGAAAAGUCUCUGGCUAAUAUCUGGGGAACA